RNAcentral lists this ribosomal RNA (425 nucleotides) under uncultured bacterium. RNAcentral describes it as "bacterial SSU rRNA". It matches the Rfam family "Bacterial small subunit ribosomal RNA", at positions 359 to 776 of the family's 1533-position model. The record is from RNAcentral.
GAAUAUUGGACAAUGGGGGCAACCCUGAUCCAGCCAUGCCGCGUGUGUGAAGAAGGCCUUCGGGUUGUAAAGCACUUUCAGUGGUGAGGAAGGCUUGCAGAUUAAUACUCUGCGAGAUUGACGUUAGCCACAGAAGAAGCACCGGCUCACUCCGUGCCAGCAGCCGCGGUAAUACGGAGGGUGCGAGCGUUAAUCGGAAUUACUGGGCGUAAAGCGCACGUAGGCGGUUUGUUAAGCUAGAUGUGAAAGCCCCGGGCUUAACCUGGGAAUAGCAUUUAGAACUGGCAGGCUAGAGUUUUGGAGAGGGUGGUAGAAUUUCCAGUGCAGCGGUGAAAUGCGUAGAGAUUGGAAGGAAUACCAGUGGCGAAGGCGGCCACCUGGCCAAAAACUGACGCUGAGGAGCGAAAGCGUGGGGAGCAAACAGG